CGGCAUCCCUCUUCCCUCCUGUCUCUCUCUCUCUCUCUCUCUCUCUCGCUAGUCGCUACCCUCUCGCUCAUACGACUGUCGGGCCGCCGCCGCCCUAGGCCAGGGCCCAGGUGCUGAGGCUUUCCUUGGUCUCUUCGCCGGCGACGAUCACCCACCAGGAAUAUUGGAGAUGUGCCUUCAACACUCUAGGGCUCGAUUGUCUCCAGACGAGCAACUCGCUGCAGAAAGAAGUUUUGCCUUGUAUUGCAAGCCAAUUGAGCUGUACAAUAUUAUCCAGAGGCGAGCCGUUAAAAAUCCCCCUUUUAUUCAAAGAUCCCUUCUAUAUAAGAUACAGGCAAGGAGAAAAAAGAGGAUUCAAAUAACUGUAUCACUUUCUGCAAGUGCAAAUACACAAGCACCGAAUAUCUUUCCCCUUCAUGUACUUUUAGCUAGACCUACCAGUAAUAUUUCGCUUGAAGGGCAUUCUCCGAUAUAUCGAUUCAGUAGGGUUUGCUUGCUUACAAAUUUUAGUGAAUUUGGAAAUAAAGGCAAAACUGAAGCCACAUUCAUCAUCCCUGAUGUGAAGAAUUUGUCAACCUCCCGUGCUUGCAACCUUAACAUUAUAUUAAUUAGCUGUGGGCAAGUAGGACAAAUUAUUGGUGAAGAUAGCUGCUCCGGGAAUGAUGUGGAAAGAUCUUCCCUCCAAAAGCUUGAAGGGAAAUGUUCCUGGGGUAAAAUACCGACUAAUGUACUUGCAUCCUCUUUGGAGAAAUGUGUGACUUUAAGUACAGGAGAUGCUGUGGAUUUGGCUUCGACAGUUACAAUGAGCCCAAGCUUCUUAGAGCCAAAAUUUCUUGAACAAGACAGUUGUUUGACAUUUUGCUCUCAUAAGGUUGAUGCUACGGGUUCAUACCAAUUAGAAGUAUGCAUAUCUGCAGAAGAGGCUGGUGCAAGAGAAUUACUUUUGUCUCCUUAUUAUUGUAAUUACUCAUAUGAUAAUGUCCCACCUUCGUUAUUACCAGAAAUCAUAAGGUUGAGAGCUGGAAAUGUACUUUUUAAUUACAAGUACUACAAUAAUACAAUGCAAAAGACUGAAGUUACUGAAGAUUUUUCCUGCCCAUUUUGCUUGGUACCAUGUGGAAGCUUCAAGGGCCUGGGAUGCCACUUAAACUCAUCACAUGACCUGUUCCACUAUGAGUUCUGGAUAUCUGAAGAGUGCCAGGCUGUGAAUGUUAGUCUGAAGGCUGAUGCCUGGAAAACUGAGUCUGUGGCAGAGGGAGUUGAUCCAAGGCAUCAAACAUUUUCUUACUGCUCGAGGUUUAAGAAGCGUAGAAGGUUGGAAACGACAGCUGAGAAAUUCAGGCAUGUUCACCCACAUAUUAUGGAAUCAGGAUCACAUGAAGAUGCCCAGGCAGGGUCUGAAGAUGACUAUGCACAAAGGGAGAACGGGCUUUCUGUAGCACACGCUGCAGUUGACCCUAGUCAGCCUGUACAUGGGAGCAAUCUUUCACUACCAACAGUGCUACAGUUUGGGAAGUCGAGGAAACUAUCUAUUGAGCGAUCUGACCCCAGAAAUCGACAACUGCUGCAAAAGCGUCAGUUCUUCCAUUCACACAGGGCACAGCCAAUGCCAUUGGAACAAGUCUUCUCAGAUCAUGAUAGUGAAGACGAGGUUGAUGAUGAUAUUGCUGACUUUGAGGAUAGAAGGAUGCUUGACGAUUUUGUUGAUGUUACAAAAGAUGAGAAGCUUAUUAUGCAUAUGUGGAAUUCAUUUGUUCGAAAACAAAGGGACCAUCAUGUAAGAGUCAAGGAAGAAGAAAUCUAAGAUAGUCCCGGAGGAAGGGUGUCUAUCCAGGGUCUCUCUCUGCUAAUCCAUCUAUCGGGUGCUAGCUGAUGGUCAUAUACCUUGGGCCUGCGAGGCAUUCUCCAGAUGCCAUGGACAACAGCUUGUACAAAACCCUGCCCUGCUGUGGGGCUGGCGUUUCUUCAUGAUUAAACUCUGGAACCACAGCCUUCUCGAUGCCCGUGCCAUGAAUACUUGCAACACAAUUCUUCAAGGCUACCAAGACGGAAGUUCGGACCCCAAGUAAAUUUAAUACAAAAAAAAUGUUGGCCAACUUGUGUAUAAUGGCACUGGAUGUAGAUCUGCCAAUUCGAGGGGUUACUUCUGAACCCGAAAACAACUAUGGGAAGAAUUUGAAUGGACCAUACCAGCAUUUGUUUUAACUUUUAAGGUUUAAGGGUAGCUACCCCCCACCUGGAAAACCUGGAAAGAAACUAGGAGGGCGAAGCUGGAUCCUUGGCCGAGAUAAUCAUUGUUUCAUUCAUGACUCAUUGUAUUGAUUGAUCCAGUUGUUGGCAGAUGGAGUUGUAUGGAUGAUAAUGAUAAAUGAAGUGAUUCACCGCAGUCCUUA
Molecule: RNA transcript, 2393 nt
Organism: Sorghum bicolor (sorghum)
Lineage: Eukaryota; Viridiplantae; Streptophyta; Magnoliopsida; Poales; Poaceae
Gene name: polycomb group protein EMBRYONIC FLOWER 2
Exons: 22
Source: RefSeq, a predicted model, not a curated record